This 253-nucleotide ribosomal RNA is filed under the name uncultured bacterium. Its description in RNAcentral is "partial 16S ribosomal RNA". It matches the Rfam family "Bacterial small subunit ribosomal RNA", at positions 524 to 776 of the family's 1533-position model. The record is from RNAcentral.
UACAGAGGUCUCAAGCGUUGUUCGGAUUCAUUGGGCGUAAAGGGUGUGUAGGUGGCGCGCUAAGUCGGGUGUGAAAUUUCGGAGCUUAACUCCGAAACUGCAUUCGAUACUGGCGUGCUUGAGGACUGGAGAGGAGACUGGAAUUCAUGGUGUAGCAGUGAAAUGCGUAGAGAUCAUGAGGAAGACCAGUGGCGAAGGCGGGUCUCUGGACAGUUCCUGACACUGAGGAGCGAAAGCGUGGGGAGCGAACAGG